RNAcentral lists this unclassified non-coding RNA (240 nucleotides) under Hevea brasiliensis (rubber tree). The record is from RNAcentral. Lineage: Eukaryota; Viridiplantae; Streptophyta; Magnoliopsida; Malpighiales; Euphorbiaceae.
GAAAUUGCUUCAUCUCAAAGAGUGAAUUUCAGAUUUACGAGUGCUGUUCUGAGAGGGAAAAGUUGGGAAAUUCCUUUGCCUCCGUUUGGACAGGGUUGGUUCAAAUCUGUUUACCUAGAUGAUGAUUUGCGGAUUGCUAAUGAUGUUCGUGGAGAUUAUUUAAUAGUUGCACGUGCUCCUUAUAAUUGGUCAGAGUGAAGGGUAACAAUUUGAUGGUGCAUGUAGAUCGCUGAACUCAAC